AAACCGGAGCUAAUACCGGAUAAUUCUUUUAGCCUCAUGGCUUUAAGCUGAAAGGCGCUUCGGCGUCACUACAGGAUGGACCCGCGGUGCAUUAGCUAGUUGGUGAGGUAACGGCUCACCAAGGCAACGAUGCAUAGCCGACCUGAGAGGGUGAUCGGCCACAUUGGGACUGAGACACGGCCCUAACUCCUACGGGAGGCAGCAGUAGGGAAUCUUCCACAAUGGACGAAAGUCUGAUGGAGCAACGCCGCGUGAGUGAUGAAGGUUUUCGGAUCGUAAAACUCUGUUGUAAGGGAAGAACAAGUAGCGUAGUAACUGGCGCUACCUUGACGGU
This 334-nucleotide ribosomal RNA is filed under the name Pseudomonas aeruginosa. Its description in RNAcentral is "bacterial SSU rRNA". It matches the Rfam family "Bacterial small subunit ribosomal RNA", at positions 154 to 476 of the family's 1533-position model. Lineage: Bacteria; Pseudomonadati; Pseudomonadota; Gammaproteobacteria; Pseudomonadales; Pseudomonadaceae. The record is from RNAcentral.